RNAcentral lists this ribosomal RNA (377 nucleotides) under uncultured bacterium. RNAcentral describes it as "bacterial SSU rRNA". It matches the Rfam family "Bacterial small subunit ribosomal RNA", at positions 521 to 896 of the family's 1533-position model. The record is from RNAcentral.
UAAGACAGAGGUGCCGAGCGUUAGGCGGAAUCACUGGGCUUAAAGCGUGUGUAGGCGGACGGGUAAGUACCUUGUGAAAUCCCACGGCUCAACCGUGGAACGGCUGGGUAUACUGCCCGUCUUGAGCCACUUAGGGGCCGUCGGAACAAAUGGUGGAGCGGUGAAAUGCGUAGAUAUCAUUUGGAACGCCAAAGGUGAAAACAGACGGCUGGGAGUGUGCUGACGCUGAGACACGAAAGCCAGGGGAGCGAACGGGAUUAGAUACCCCGGUAGUCCUGGCCCUAAACGAUGUCGACUAGGUCAUGGCGGCUCUGACGCCGUCAUGGCCGAAGCAAAAGUGCUAAGUCGACCGCCUGGGAAGUACGGUCGCAAGGCUA